GAGAAAUUCCCUGGGGUUUAGAUCUUUUUUAAAAGGAUGUGUGUAAAAUUCUACCGAGUUUUUUAAAACUAUGCUUUAUUUCGCCAAAGUGGCGCAUUCGAGGAGAAAUUGCAAGCUCCAUUUUAGAAAACGGUUCCAAACGGUUCGCCCUGUCGUCACUAGAGGGCAGCAGAGGGACUUCUGCGACUUCCGACCCCUGGUUUUUGCAGGGACGCGGAGGGGAGACAACGCAAUCGCUUUAUUUUGGUGGAGGUGACGGAGUUUUUCUCUUCAGCAUGACCAUGUCAAGCCACCAUCAUAUCCCUUAUCCCCGCUCGGUUGGACAGAGAUGCAGAACCUACAGACAGGGAACGCCACAGUUCGACUUAUUCCGUGGGUGUGGAAGUUGUUGGAUAAACGCCCGGUCAGGUGCCCCAGAGACCACAUCUCCUGCAGGGAUGUAGACAGAGCAAACGGGACUCGGAGGGAGCGGAAGGCCUUCUAAAUCUAGGGUUCCACUGCUCACGAGCCAUGGCAAUAAUAACCCAGCGCCCCCCAGAGCCCGGGACACAACGAGCCCCGGGGGGCGGGUGCAGCUCAAGCAGCAGUGACAGUUGACAAACGCUGCCAAGGGCAGACACCGGGGCAGCAUGCUCAGCACUGUGUUGGGACGUCGCACACAUUCACAGCACAGUCAUUGAGUGAAUGUCCGCUUGGCUCCACGUGUGGACCCAGAUGUAUUCGUGAGCACGGCUCAGGGCCGGAAGCUGCUCCUGGCUCCCUGCGGCCCAGCUGGCAACUCUCGAGCAGCGCUCGAGCACACCCCUGGCAAAGGCAGCUCUUUCUGACUACCAAAGUGAAUGGCUUCUCUUAACCCUGUUCUCGCUCAUUCUUACGGCAGGUAUCAGGUGGCUGCCUGGCUUCGGG
RNAcentral lists this long non-coding RNA (906 nucleotides) under Heterocephalus glaber (naked mole-rat). RNAcentral's name for it is "lncRNA (ENSHGLG00000049543.1)". Lineage: Eukaryota; Metazoa; Chordata; Mammalia; Rodentia; Bathyergidae. The record is from RNAcentral.